This 497-nucleotide ribosomal RNA is filed under the name uncultured bacterium. Its description in RNAcentral is "partial 16S ribosomal RNA". It matches the Rfam family "Bacterial small subunit ribosomal RNA", at positions 28 to 507 of the family's 1533-position model. The record is from RNAcentral.
GAUGAACGCUGGCGGCGUGCCUAAUACAUGCAAGUCGAGCGAACAGAUAAGGAGCUUGCUCCUUUGACGUUAGCGGCGGACGGGUGAGUAACACGUGGGUAACCUACCUAUAAGACUGGAAUAACUACGGGAAACCGGGGCUAAUGCCGGAUAACAUUUAGAACCGCAUGGUUCUAAAGUGAAAGAUGGUUGUGCUAUCACUUAUAGAUGGACCCGCGCCGUAUUAGCUAGUUGGUAAGGUAACGGCUUACCAAGGCAACGAUACGUAGCCGACCCGAGAGGGUGGUCGGCCACCCUGGCACUGAGACUGAGUCCAGACUCCUACGGGAGGCAGCAGUAGAGACUCUUCCGCGAUGGGCGAGUGCCUGACGGAGCAACGCCGCGUGAGUGAUGAAGGUCUUCGGAUCGUAGAGCUCUGUUAUUAGGAGAGAACAAAUGUGUAAGUAACUGUGCACGUAUUGACGGUACCUAAUCAGAAAGCCACGGCUAACUACGUG